CCUCCUGCAGGGCAAUAAAGGUAAAACAGGCGUGAUCAUCGCGGCCUACAUGCACUACAGCAAGAUCUCUGCAGGGGCGGACCAGGCUCUCAGUACUCUGGCCAUGAGGAAGUUCUGUGAAGAUAAGGUGUCCUCUUCUCUGCAGCCGUCCCAAAACAGAUACAUCUAUUACUUUGGGGGCCUUCUGUCGGGGGCCAUCAAGAUGAACAGCAGCCCUCUCUUCCUGCACCAGGUGCUCAUCCCGUCACUCCCCAACUUCCAGGGGGAAGGAGGUGAG
Molecule: long non-coding RNA, 277 nt
Organism: Notothenia coriiceps (black rockcod)
Lineage: Eukaryota; Metazoa; Chordata; Actinopteri; Perciformes; Nototheniidae
Exons: 3
Source: RefSeq, a predicted model, not a curated record